This 23-nucleotide unclassified non-coding RNA is filed under the name Mus musculus (house mouse). RNAcentral describes it as "oocyte_clustered_small_RNA6151". The record is from RNAcentral. Lineage: Eukaryota; Metazoa; Chordata; Mammalia; Rodentia; Muridae.
UGAGGUGGGCAGGGGGUCGAUGG